Non-coding RNA from Ictidomys tridecemlineatus (thirteen-lined ground squirrel), 921 nucleotides. Lineage: Eukaryota; Metazoa; Chordata; Mammalia; Rodentia; Sciuridae. The record is from RefSeq and is a predicted model, not a curated record.
GAGCUACUGAAGGGCUUUAAGCAGAGGAGAUCCAAUUUGUGAUUUGAGGCUCCUCUGGUUGCAAUUUGUGGAACGGACUGGAAUAGGCCCAGUAGUAGAAGCAGGAGAUGGAAGCUAUUUGCAGUGGUCCAGGGGAGAGCUGAUGAUGCAGACUCUGAGAUGAGGACGGAGUGCAAAGAAUUUCAUCAAGGAAGUCCCCCCAGCUGGCAACGAAAGAGGAGACAAGUCCAGAAGGAGCAGCUGCCAAGCAAGAGUACAAAAUUUUAGGGCAGGCCUGCUCAUUCUUUCCUCGCUCCGGAAGGGUCUUCGGCACUAAUUGGCUGUUUGGUCGCUCGAUCUUGACAGUACGAGGAACGUCUACUUCUUCAAUACCCAGCUCAGAAGUCAUUCUCUGUGUACCACCUUCCCAGUUCCACCAGGCUCUGAAAAUUUUGUGUUGUAACUGUUUGUUCUCACCAGUCUUCCCUGACUACAUUAUAAAACCUUCAAGGACAGAUAAGUCAUCUUCAUUCCCAUUUAUUCAUUCAUUUGUUUAGAGGAAGCAUAAUAUAAAAGUUAAGAGUGCAGACUAUGGAUUCACAGAUAAUCUGGGGUUAAGGUCUGAUUUCACAACUUAUUGGCUAUAUAAUAUAUGAAAACGACUUAACCUUUUUAAGCCAUUAUUUCUCACUUGUAAGGAUGAGCAUAGUGGAAGUAUUUUUCAUGUAGGGUUGUUAAAAGAUUUAAACACAUAUAAUUUAUUGGGCUCUUACUAAAAAGUGAAGCAUUAUGCAGAUAAUAGUAAUUACUAUGAUUAUUUAUUCAACAAAUACUUAUUGCAUAAAUAUUAUGUGCCUCCAGGAUCUGCCAAGAUGUUUGGUAUAGAGUUAGGGCUUGGUAAAUGUUCACUGAAUGGAUAAAUAAUGAACGAGACAAAAUAAA